This 244-nucleotide non-coding RNA is filed under the name Herbinix sp. RNAcentral describes it as "T-box sequence". It matches the Rfam family "T-box leader". Rfam says of the family: Uncharged tRNA acts as the effector for transcription antitermination of genes in the T-box leader family. T-boxes are found upstream of many aminoacyl-tRNA synthetase genes and some amino acid biosynthetic genes usually in Gram-positive bacteria. The anticodon of a specific tRNA base pairs to a specifier sequence within the T-box motif, and the NCCA acceptor tail of the tRNA base pairs to a conserved bulge in the T-box antiterminator hairpin. The record is from RNAcentral. Lineage: Bacteria; Bacillati; Bacillota; Clostridia; Lachnospirales; Lachnospiraceae.
AUAAAUGCAAUGAAGAGAAGAGUAAUCAGUGGAGCAAUCGACAGAGAACCCCGGUAGCUGAGAAGGGGAGAUUUGCAUAAGCUGACGAAGAUGGUCUCGGAGCAGCACACCGAGGAAGAAAUUCUUAGGCUGUGACGGCAGCAUCCGUUAUUAUGCUAGGCUGUUAUAUGCAGCGACUAAGGCCUAUGAUUGCGAAACAUAGGUGAAUUAAAGUGGUACCACGGGAAGUCCUCUCGUCUUUAAA